UUUGGGGUUUGGAAUGGAAAUAAUAGAUUGAGGUUAAAGGGAUGAUGGGGUUUGGAAUAUAUGAAGUAGAAGAUAAAGAAGACGGGGUUUGGGGAAGAUGGGGUUUGGGGUUUCGGAUUUUAGGGAUUUAAACAUAUUCCUCGUAAUUUCCUCAUAAUAUAACGAGGAAAUAACGACGAAAAGAACGCGGGCCUCGCUAAUUCCUCGUUAAUUUCACGUAAGCACAAUUCGUUUUUAAAGACCUCGUAAGAGGAAAACGUGGGCCUUGCUAUUUCCUC
RNAcentral lists this long non-coding RNA (278 nucleotides) under Brassica napus (rape). RNAcentral's name for it is "long non-coding RNA (BNAP_LNC025811)". Lineage: Eukaryota; Viridiplantae; Streptophyta; Magnoliopsida; Brassicales; Brassicaceae. The record is from RNAcentral.